GUGGGUGUGUGUGGGAGGAUGGGAUGCUUUCUGGUUAAGUCCUGAUCUUGUGUUGUCUUUGAGGAUGAACCCAAGAGGCAAAAGUGCUGCAACACACGCACACAGAGACACAGAGACACACGCACAGGCAGAGACACACACACAGACACAGAGACACAGAAACACACACACACACGCAGGUCAGCAGUUCAGCAGGAUGAGUGUGUCUCUUAUGUGGGUCUAAAUCUCCACAGCUUUAUGGCUCUUUUCUGUGUGAGCUGAAUUCCAAUAAAAAGCGGUUCUGAGGUUCCACUCUGCACUUUAUAUUUAUGAUCUGAGACUCGGAGCUGAUCUCGGAUCAGAAACCACGAUCCGUCUGUCACAUUUCAGACAGUAAAGAAGACAUCCAGUUGAACUUGACCUGAUUAUUGGUGUAGUCUAUUUCUAGAUUAACAUUAGAAUAUAACAUUUCCUUAAUGCAACGAAAACAACUACUAGAUCAUGUGCAGCAUUCAUAAAAUAAAUACAUAAUAAACAAGUCAGUAAAAUAAAAUCUCCCUCUUCCCCUGUUUUGGAGUGUAAGCAGGUUAGUGUGAUCAGGUCGAUUAUUUUCCUCUAACUGCACGUCCCCCGGUGUUCUGCUCCUCUUACUACACAGUAAGUUACCAACAAAUGGCAUUUUUUAUUUAGUAAAGAUUGAUCAUUUAUCUGUUUGUGGUUCUGUUUAACGUCUGUGUAACGAGUUCCUGUUCUCACUUACGUUAUAGCAACUCUAAAGAGUUUUUCCCUCACCAGCCUCUCUUACAAUCUCCUUACAGAAAACUGUAACUAUAGAAACAAUAUCGUAUAAACGUGUGUGUGUGUGUGUGUGUGUGUGUGUGUGUGUGUGUCAUGUAUGCACAUAUAUCUGCAAUAAGCACAGUGUUAUGGCUAUAGAACAUGCAGGGAGUGUAAUAAAAUAUAAUGUAUGCAUGAUGCCCUGUGUGUGCAUGUCUGAGAGUGCGGGUGCCCCUGAGGAUACUGGGAUAGGUGAUGAGAGAUUAGCUUCCAAAAGCACUAGCGUUAAUACCAAUCAAAAUGGCGGUUUUGCCUGAGCGUUGUUUAUACGGCGAAUUCAAUUACGCGAUGGCGAGCGGAGAGACGCAGUGUUACAGCCUGUCAGGGUGACAUUUCAUUUGCAGUGAAUCAUGGGAAAUGGAGCGGACCUUCACUGCCCCGAACGCCCAUUUAUUUAAGUGUGUGUGAUUGUGUAUGUUUGUGAUGCUCAGAGCUGCUCAGAAAUGGUCCUUUCUUUGAAUCCGUCUUUCUUUCUUCACCGUAUCUUCACUGUCUCUGCUUCGCUGUUCAAAUACUAUUUCAAUGGAUAUUUGCAUAUUCAAGUGACAUAAUUACAUAUUCAUAAGGUGCCAUUUAAAGAUUUA
Molecule: long non-coding RNA, 1400 nt
Organism: Ictalurus punctatus (channel catfish)
Lineage: Eukaryota; Metazoa; Chordata; Actinopteri; Siluriformes; Ictaluridae
Source: Ensembl